Molecule: ribosomal RNA, 465 nt
Filed under: uncultured bacterium
Lineage: Bacteria
Description: partial 16S ribosomal RNA
Rfam family: Bacterial small subunit ribosomal RNA
Source: RNAcentral
UCCAGACUCCUACGGGAGGCAGCAGUGAGGAAUAUUGGUCAAUGGGCGGGAGCCUGAACCAGCCAAGUCGCGUGAGGGAAGACGGUCCUAUGGAUUGUAAACCUCUUUAGGCGGGGAGCAAUGCCGGGCACGCGUGUCCGGAGGGAGAGUACCCGCAGAAUAAGCAUCGGCUAACUCCGUGCCAGCAGCCGCGGUAAUACGGAGGAUGCGAGCGUUAUCCGGAUUUAUUGGGUUUAAAGGGUGCGUAGGCGGAUUUUUAAGUCAGCGGUAAAAUGUCCGGGCUCAACCCGGGCCGGCCGUUGAAACUGUGUCCCUUGAGUGCGCGAAGGGUAGGCGGAAUGCGUGGUGUAGCGGUGAAAUGCAUAGAUAUCACGCAGAACUCCGAUCGCGAAGGCAGCCUACCGGCGCGCAACUGACGCUCAUGCACGAAAGCGUGGGUAUCGAACAGGAUUAGAUACCCGGGUA